UUUUUUUUUUUGGAAUGGUAGCUACACACUCUUUUUCAGACACAUAUGCAAGAAUAGCCACUUGUCAAGAACUCAAGAUGUGGGUUCGCUGUAGAUGACAACUUUUUGGGGAAAAAGGUUGAAUUUGCCACACCAAAUUCUGAAAAGCUAGGUAACAUGUGGGGUACCAUGCCUUUUCAUUAAAAAAGCCCUUUAUUUCUUCAAGUAUAUCUCUGAUUGUACAGGUAGCUUUCAGGUACACUGUUCAUCUCCAUCGUAUAAGGUCUGGUCCUGCAAAUGUCGUUGACGCUAGAGCUCAUGCAUGAUCCGGACUCCUGGAUCCACCAAUGCUUGUUUAGCCCAGCUCAUACUAGAAGCUCCUUGCUGAUGCUGACUUGGCUAAUGGCCAAGAUAACCCAAUAUAUAAUGGGAUAUCUGACAAAAAGAAAAGCAUGUCACUGGGUUUUAAUCCAAUUGUACAAUGCCACAGUUGCCGAGUUGCGCCUUCGAGGCCCGAUCCUGUUUGCUUGUACCCUUGUCAACUAUUUCUAAGCCAUGCCAAGUGUGAUGUCGAGAUGGAAAUCUGACCAUGUUCAAGGCGGGAUGCUAAUGCCCCCAUGUUCAGUCUCACCUACUACUGUACCAUACUCCUAACUUUGAUUCCUACGUGUACUUUUCUCAGUAAAAUACAAAAUGCACCGCGAAUUUGGCAACAAUGUUGAUGUAGAUGUGCAAUGACAAAACAAACUAAUACCAUGUGCCUUGACAUUU
Molecule: long non-coding RNA, 750 nt
Filed under: Setaria viridis
Lineage: Eukaryota; Viridiplantae; Streptophyta; Magnoliopsida; Poales; Poaceae
Description: long non-coding RNA (SVIR_LNC002939)
Source: RNAcentral